GCCUGCGCACGCUUUACGCCCAGUAAUUCCGAUUAACGCUUGGACCCUACGUAUUACCGCGGCUGCUGGCACGUAGUUAGCCGGUCCUUAUUCUUCCGGUACCGUCAUCGACCCCAGGUAUUAACCAGAGCCAUUUCUUUCCGGACAAAAGUGCUUUACAACCCGAAGGCCUUCUUCACACACGCGGCAUUGCUGGAUCAGGCUUUCGCCCAUUGUCCAAAAUUCCCCACUGCUGCCUCCCGUAGGAGUCUGGGCCGUGUCUCAGUCCCAGUGUGGCUGAUCGUCCUCUCAGACCAGCUACUGAUCGUCGCCUUGGUGGGCCUUUACCCCACCAACUAGCUAAUCAGACAUCGGCCGCUCCUAUAGCAUGAGGCCUUGCGGUCCCCCACUUUCACCCUCAGGUCGUAUGCGGUAUUAGCUAAUCUUUCGACUAGUUAUCCCCCACUACAGGGCACGUUCCGAUGUAUUACUCACCCGUUCGCCACUCGCCAUCAAUCUAGCAAGCUAGAUCAUGCUGCCGUUCGACUUGCAUGUGUAAGGCAUGCCGCCAGCGUUCAAUCUGAGCCAGGAUCAAACUC
RNAcentral lists this ribosomal RNA (578 nucleotides) under uncultured bacterium. Its description in RNAcentral is "partial 16S ribosomal RNA". The record is from RNAcentral.